AGCGAACGCUGGCGGCAGGCUUAACACAUGCAAGUCGAACGCCCCGCAAGGGGAGUGGCAGACGGGUGAGUAACACGUGGGAACGUACCCUUUGGUUCGGAAUAACUUGGGGAAACUCAAGCUAAUACCGGAUAAGCCCUUAUGGGGAAAGGUUUACUGCCGAAGGAUCGGCCCGCGUCUGAUUAGCUAGUUGGUGAGGUAAUGGCUCACCAAGGCGACGAUCAGUAGCUGGUCUGAGAGGAUGAUCAGCCACACUGGGACUUAGACACGGCCCAGACUCCUACGCGAGGCAGCACUGGGGAAUAUUGGACAAUGGGGGCAACCCUGAUCCAGCCAUGCCGCGUGAGUUAUGAAGGCCUUAGGGUUGUAAAGCUCUUUUACCCGGGACGAUAAUGACUGUACCGGGAGAAUAAGCCCCGGCUAACUUCGUGCCAGCCGCCGCGGUAA
RNAcentral lists this ribosomal RNA (447 nucleotides) under uncultured bacterium. RNAcentral describes it as "partial 16S ribosomal RNA". It matches the Rfam family "Bacterial small subunit ribosomal RNA", at positions 29 to 523 of the family's 1533-position model. The record is from RNAcentral.